UACGUAGGGAGCAAGCGUUGUCCGGAUUCACUGGGUGUAAAGGGUGCGUAGGCGGGAGAAUAAGUCAGCGGUGAAAUCUUACGGCUUAACCGUGAAACUGCCGAUGAUACUGUUUUUCUUGAGUUCGGGAGAGGUUGAUAGAAUUCCAGGUGUAGCGGUGAAAUGCGUAGAUAUCUGGAAGAAUACCAGUGGCGAAGGCGGUCAACUGGCCCGAAACUGACGCUGAGGCACGAAAGCGUGGGUAGCGAACAGG
Molecule: ribosomal RNA, 253 nt
Filed under: uncultured bacterium
Lineage: Bacteria
Description: partial 16S ribosomal RNA
Rfam family: Bacterial small subunit ribosomal RNA
Source: RNAcentral